RNAcentral lists this ribosomal RNA (485 nucleotides) under uncultured bacterium. Its description in RNAcentral is "bacterial SSU rRNA". It matches the Rfam family "Bacterial small subunit ribosomal RNA", at positions 30 to 507 of the family's 1533-position model. The record is from RNAcentral.
AUUGAACGCUGGCGGAAUGCUUUACACAUGCAAGUCGAACGGUAGAGGGGGCAACCCCUCGAGAGUGGCGAACGGGUGAGUAAUAUAUCGGAACGUGCCCAGUCGUGGGGGAUAACGUAGCGAAAGUUACGCUAAUACCGCAUACGAUCUACGGAUGAAAGCGGGGGAUCGCAAGACCUCGCGCGAUUGGAGCGGCCGAUAUCAGAUUAGGUAGUUGGUGGGGGUAAAAGGCCUCACCAAGCCAACGAUCUGUAGCUGGUCUGAGAGGACGACCAGCCACACUGGAACUGAGACACGGUCCAGACUCCUACGGGAGGCAGCAGUGGGGAAUUUUGGACAAUGGACGCAAGUCUGAUCCAGCCAUUCCGCGUGCAGGAUGAAGGCCCUCGGGUUGUAAACUGCUUUUGUACGGAACGAAAAGGUUUCGUAUUAAUACUAGGAGCUCAAUGACGGUACCGUAAGAAUAAGCACCGGCUAACUACGUG